CAGCCGCCGCGGUAAUACGGAGGGAGCUAGCGUUGUUCGGAAUUACUGGGCGUAAAGCGCGCGUAGGCGGUUACUCAAGUCAGAGGUGAAAGCCCGGGGCUCAACCCCGGAUGUGCCUUUGAGACUGCAGGGCUAGAACGUCGGAGAGGUGAGUGGAAUUCCGAGUGUAGAGGUGAAAUUCGUAGAUAUUCGGAAGAACACCAGUGGCGAAGGCGGCUCACUGGACGACUGUUGACGCUGAGGUGCGAAAGCGUGGGGAGCAAACAGGAUUAGAUACCCGCGUAGUCCCUGUCUCUUAUAC
RNAcentral lists this ribosomal RNA (301 nucleotides) under uncultured bacterium. RNAcentral describes it as "partial 16S ribosomal RNA". It matches the Rfam family "Bacterial small subunit ribosomal RNA", at positions 509 to 807 of the family's 1533-position model. The record is from RNAcentral.